AGAGUUUGAUCAUGGCUCAGAUUGAACGCUGGCGGCAGGCCUAACACAUGCAAGUCGAGCGGAUGAGAGGAGCUUGCUCCUUGAUUUAGCGGCGGACGGGUGAGUAAUGCCUAGGAAUCUGCCUGGUAGUGGGGGAUAACGUUCCGAAAGGAACGCUAAUACCGCAUACGUCCUACGGGAGAAAGCAGGGGACCUUCGGGCCUUGCGCUAUCAGAUGAGCCUAGGUCGGAUUAGCUAGUUGGUGAGGUAAUGGCUCACCAAGGCGACGAUCCGUAACUGGUCUGAGAGGAUGAUCAGUCACACUGGAACUGAGACACGGUCCAGACUCCUACGGGAGGCAGCAGUGGGGAAUAUUGGACAAUGGGCGAAAGCCUGAUCCAGCCAUGCCGCGUGUGUGAAGAAGGUCUUCGGAUUGUAAAGCACUUUAAGUUGGGAGGAAGGGCAUUAACCUAAUACGUUAGUGUUUUGACGUUACCGACAGAAUAAGCACCGGCUAACUUCGUGCCAGCAGCCGCGGUAAUACGAAGGGUGCAAGCGUUAAUCGGAAUUACUGGGCGUAAAGCGCGCGUAGGUGGUUCGUUAAGUUGGAUGUGAAAGCCCCGGGCUCAACCUGGGAACUGCAUCCAAAACUGGCGAGCUAGAGUACGGUAGAGGGUGGUGGAAUUUCCUGUGUAGCGGUGAAAUGCGUAGAUAUAGGAAGGAACACCAGUGGCGAAGGCGACCACCUGGACUGAUACUGACACUGAGGUGCGAAAGCGUGGGGAGCAAACAGGAUUAGAUACCCUGGUAGUCCACGCCGUAAACGAUGUCAACUAGCCGUUGGGAGUCUUGAACUCUUAGUGGCGCAGCUAACGCAUUAAGUUGACCGCCUGGGGAGUACGGCCGCAAGGUUAAAACUCGAAUGAAUUGACGGGGGCCCGCACAAGCGGUGGAGCA
Molecule: ribosomal RNA, 936 nt
Filed under: hot springs metagenome
Description: bacterial SSU rRNA
Rfam family: Bacterial small subunit ribosomal RNA
Source: RNAcentral